UAAUAGACUACCCUGGUAGUCCACGCCCUAAACGAUGCGAACUGGAUGUUGGGUACAUUACGGUACUCAGUGUCGAAGCUAACGCGUUAAGUUCGCCGCCUGGGGAGUACGGUCGCAAGACUGAAACUCAAAGGAAUUGACGGGGGCCCGCACAAGCGGUGGAGUAUGUGGUUUAAUUCGAUGCAACGCGAAGAACCUUACCUGGCCUUGACAUCUGUCGAAUCCUGCAGAGAUGCGGGGAGUGCCGCAAGGAACGACAAGACAGGUGCUGCAUGGCUGUCGUCAGCUCGUGUCGUGAGAUGUUGGGUUAAGUCCCGCAACGAGCGCAACCCUUGUCCCUAGUUGCCAGCACGUAAUGGUGGGAACUCUAGGGAGACUGCCGGUGACAAACCGGAGGAAGGUGGGGAUGACGUCAAGUCCUCAUGGCCCUUACGGCCAGGGCUACACACGUACUACAAUGGUCGGUACAGAGGGUUGCGAGCCGCGAGGUGGAGCCAUCCCAGAAACCGAUCCCAGUCCGGAUCGGAGU
This 529-nucleotide ribosomal RNA is filed under the name uncultured bacterium. Its description in RNAcentral is "bacterial SSU rRNA". It matches the Rfam family "Bacterial small subunit ribosomal RNA", at positions 776 to 1304 of the family's 1533-position model. The record is from RNAcentral.